GCGCGAAAACUUUACAAUGCGGGAAACCGUGAUAAGGGGACACCGAGUGCUAGCAUCAUAUGCUGGCUGUCCAGGUGUGUAAAAUACACCUGUUAGCAAGGGCCGGGCAAGACCGGUGCCAGCCGCCGCGGUAACACCGGCGGCCCGCGUGGUGAUCGUGAUUAUUGGGUCUAAAGGGUCCGUAGCCGGUUUGGUCAGUCCUCCGGGAAAUCUGAUAGCUCAACUAUUAGGCUUUCGGGGGAUACUGCCAGACUUGGAACCGGGAGAGGUAAGAGGUACUACAGGGGUAGGAGUGAAAUCUUGUAAUCCUUGAAGGACCACCAGUGGCGAAGGCGUCUCACCAGAACGGACCUGACGGCAAGGGACGAAAGCUAGGGGCACGAACCG
This 387-nucleotide ribosomal RNA is filed under the name uncultured Methanosarcina sp. RNAcentral describes it as "bacterial SSU rRNA". It matches the Rfam family "Archaeal small subunit ribosomal RNA", at positions 339 to 726 of the family's 1478-position model. Lineage: Archaea; Methanobacteriati; Methanobacteriota; Methanomicrobia; Methanosarcinales; Methanosarcinaceae. The record is from RNAcentral.